GAUGAACGCUGGCGGCGUGCCUAAUACAUGCAAGUCGAGCGAACGGACGAGAAGCUUGCUUCUCUGAUGUUAGCGGCGGACGGGUGAGUAACACGUGGAUAACCUACCUAUAAGACUGGGAUAACUUCGGGAAACCGGAGCUAAUACCGGAUAAUAUUUUGAACCGCAUGGUUCAAAAGUGAAAGACGGUCUUGCUGUCACUUAUAGAUGGAUCCGCGCUGCAUUAGCUAGUUGGUAAGGUAACGGCUUACCAAGGCAACGAUGCAUAGCCGACCUGAGAGGGUGAUCGGCCACACUGGAACUGAGACACGGUCCAGACGCCUACGGGAGGCAGCAGUAGGGAAUCGUCCGCAAUGGGCGAAAGCCUGACGGAGCAACGCCGCGUGAGUGAUGAAGGUCUUCGGAUCGUAAAACUCUGUUAUUAGGGAAGAACAUAUGUGUAAGUAACUGUGCACAUCUUGACGGUACCUAAUCAGAAAGCCACGGCUAACUACGUG
RNAcentral lists this ribosomal RNA (497 nucleotides) under uncultured bacterium. Its description in RNAcentral is "partial 16S ribosomal RNA". It matches the Rfam family "Bacterial small subunit ribosomal RNA", at positions 28 to 507 of the family's 1533-position model. The record is from RNAcentral.